RNAcentral lists this transfer RNA (72 nucleotides) under Camelus bactrianus (Bactrian camel). It matches the Rfam family "tRNA". Rfam says of the family: Transfer RNA (tRNA) molecules are approximately 80 nucleotides in length. Their secondary structure includes four short double-helical elements and three loops (D, anti-codon, and T loops). Further hydrogen bonds mediate the characteristic L-shaped molecular structure. tRNAs have two regions of fundamental functional importance: the anti-codon, which is responsible for specific mRNA codon recognition, and the 3' end, to which the tRNAs corresponding amino acid is attached (by aminoacyl-tRNA synthetases). tRNAs cope with the degeneracy of the genetic code in two manners: having more than one tRNA (with a specific anti-codon) for a particular amino acid; and 'wobble' base-pairing, i.e. permitting non-standard base-pairing at the 3rd anti-codon position. Lineage: Eukaryota; Metazoa; Chordata; Mammalia; Artiodactyla; Camelidae. RNAcentral also lists the same sequence under 2 other names. The record is from Rfam by way of RNAcentral.
GAGGGAAUAGCUCAGUGGUAGAGUGCAUGCCUAGCAUGCAUGAGGUCCUGGGUUCAAUCCCCGGUACCUCCA